This 78-nucleotide transfer RNA is filed under the name Pseudomonas putida. Its description in RNAcentral is "tRNA-Arg". It matches the Rfam family "tRNA". Rfam says of the family: Transfer RNA (tRNA) molecules are approximately 80 nucleotides in length. Their secondary structure includes four short double-helical elements and three loops (D, anti-codon, and T loops). Further hydrogen bonds mediate the characteristic L-shaped molecular structure. tRNAs have two regions of fundamental functional importance: the anti-codon, which is responsible for specific mRNA codon recognition, and the 3' end, to which the tRNAs corresponding amino acid is attached (by aminoacyl-tRNA synthetases). tRNAs cope with the degeneracy of the genetic code in two manners: having more than one tRNA (with a specific anti-codon) for a particular amino acid; and 'wobble' base-pairing, i.e. permitting non-standard base-pairing at the 3rd anti-codon position. The record is from RNAcentral. Lineage: Bacteria; Pseudomonadati; Pseudomonadota; Gammaproteobacteria; Pseudomonadales; Pseudomonadaceae.
GCCCUUGUCGCCAAACUGGACUAAGGCCACGGUUUUCGAAGCCGUUCACUGGGGGUUCGAGUCCCUCCAAGGGCGCCA